AAAUUGAAGAGUUUGAUCAUGGCUCAGAUUGAACGCUGGCGGCAGGCCUAACACAUGCAAGUCGAACGGUAACAGGAAGCAGCUUGCUGCUUUGCUGACRAGUGGCGGACGGGUGAGUAAUGUCUGGGAAACUGCCUGAUGGAGGGGGAUAACUACUGGAAACGGUGGCUAAUACCGCAUAACGUCGCAAGACCAAAGAGGGGGACCUUCGGGCCUCUUGCCAUCAGAUGUGCCCAGAUGGGAUUAGCUUGUUGGUGAGGUAACGGCUCACCAAGGCGACGAUCCCUAGCUGGUCUGAGAGGAUGACCAGCCACACUGGAACUGAGACACGGUCCAGACUCCUACGGGAGGCAGCAGUGGGGAAUAUUGCACAAUGGGCGCAAGCCUGAUGCAGCCAUGCCGCGUGUAUGAAGAAGGCCUUCGGGUUGUAAAGUACUUUCAGCGGGGAGGAAGGUGUUGUGGUUAAUAACCGCAGCAAUUGACG
RNAcentral lists this ribosomal RNA (484 nucleotides) under Salmonella enterica. RNAcentral's name for it is "bacterial SSU rRNA". Lineage: Bacteria; Pseudomonadati; Pseudomonadota; Gammaproteobacteria; Enterobacterales; Enterobacteriaceae. The record is from RNAcentral.